AUUGAACGCUGGCGGCAGGCCUAACACAUGCAAGUCGAACGGUAACAGGAAGCAGCUUGCUGCUUUGCUGACGAGUGGCGGACGGGUGAGUAAUGUCUGGGAAACUGCCUGAUGGAGGGGGAUAACUACUGGAAACGGUGGCUAAUACCGCAUAACGUCGCAAGACCAAAGAGGGGGACCUUCGGGCCUCUUGCCAUCAGAUGUGCCCAGAUGGGAUUAGCUWGUUGGUGAGGUAACGGCUCACCAAGGCGACGAUCCCUAGCUGGUCUGAGAGGAUGACCAGCCACACUGGAACUGAGACACGGUCCAGACUCCUACGGGAGGCAGCAGUGGGGAAUAUUGCACAAUGGGCGCAAGCCUGAUGCAGCCAUGCCGCGUGUAUGAAGAAGGCCUUCGGGUUGUAAAGUACUUUCAGCGGGGAGGAAGGUGUUGUGGUUAAUAACCACAGCAAUUGACGUUACCCGCAGAAGAAGCACCGGCUAACUCCGU
RNAcentral lists this ribosomal RNA (489 nucleotides) under Salmonella enterica subsp. enterica serovar Brunei. Its description in RNAcentral is "bacterial SSU rRNA". It matches the Rfam family "Bacterial small subunit ribosomal RNA", at positions 30 to 506 of the family's 1533-position model. The record is from RNAcentral. Lineage: Bacteria; Pseudomonadati; Pseudomonadota; Gammaproteobacteria; Enterobacterales; Enterobacteriaceae.